Molecule: long non-coding RNA, 593 nt
Organism: Balaenoptera musculus (blue whale)
Lineage: Eukaryota; Metazoa; Chordata; Mammalia; Artiodactyla; Balaenopteridae
Exons: 3
Source: RefSeq, a predicted model, not a curated record
UUGUGUGACUGUUACAGAAGCAAAUACAUCAUCUUCGUGGUCAGGGAGUGGUAAAGGGGUGGCGGAAGAUGCAGAAGCACUUUCUCGGGUCUCCCCUCUAACGGAUGGAAGAUGGUGCAAUCCAAAAUGCUGGCCUGGAAGCCCCGCCCCCAACUGGGCCCUAAGAUGUGGCGGGGCCUUCAAGGUUCCUUUCUUCCCCUGAAGGUACUGCCCGUUGGGACAGACCACUUGACUCUUGCACUCCUUGUUCUAAGGUUCCAGCCAUAAGAGGAAAAAGAGUGCGAAGGUUAGCUGAGACUGUUUACUGGAGCUCAGAAACGCUCCCCUUCUCUUGUUUAGAAUGGGAGCUGCCAUUCGAUUACAUGUCCCGUACCCGUCUCGGUGAUUGGCUGAGGAAUGGGUGAGGCUGUGAAGAAAUAGGCUGGCACUGUCUGUGGCCAUUUUCCCACCCUGGAGGGGAGAAUUAAAGUGAUACCAGGGAGAAGCAAAGAAGAGAUGGAGUGAGAGAGUCCUGUUGCCAUUCACUUCCCUGGUUCCAGUACUCUUGAGGCCAGCUGCACAACCAUCAUGCCAGGAUUUUGAAUUAUAUGAGC